GCAAAACGCGAAGAACCUUACCUAGGCUUGACAUGCAUCUCUAAGCACGUGAAAGCGUGUGACCCUUCGGGGAAUUUGCACAGGUGCUGCAUGGCCGUCGUCAGCUCGUGUCGUGAGAUGUUGGGUUAAGUCCCGCAACGAGCGCAACCCUUGUGAUUAGUUGCCAGCGGGUGAUGCCGGGAACUCUAAUCAGACUGCCCAGAUCAACUGGGAGGAAGGUGGGGACGACGUCAGGUCAGUAUGGCCCUUACGCCUAGGGCUGCACACGUACUACAAUGCCCAGUACAAUGAGAACCGAGACCGCGAGGUGGAGGAAAUCUAUAAAACUGGGCCCAGUUCGGAUUGGAGGCUGCAACUCGCCUCCAUGAAGUUGGAAUCGCUAGUAAUGGCGCAUCAUCUACGGCGCCGUGAAUACGUUCCCGGGUCUUGUACACACCG
This 438-nucleotide ribosomal RNA is filed under the name uncultured bacterium. Its description in RNAcentral is "bacterial SSU rRNA". It matches the Rfam family "Bacterial small subunit ribosomal RNA", at positions 954 to 1392 of the family's 1533-position model. The record is from RNAcentral.